This 2561-nucleotide long non-coding RNA is filed under the name Felis catus (domestic cat). Its description in RNAcentral is "lncRNA (ENSFCAG00000048688.1)". The record is from RNAcentral. Lineage: Eukaryota; Metazoa; Chordata; Mammalia; Carnivora; Felidae.
UAGAUUGAGAGAUAGGAUGAAAUGCAGGUUGAGCAAACAUUUUUAGUAGAGGUUUCUUGACUUGACAGAAUAAAGGUUUUACGACUAUUUGGACUAUUUUAUAGUGAGCAUCAUGCAUUCAUCAAGAAGGCUGAUGACCAACCUAUUCCAUGGUUGGCCCUAAUACUGUGUGUUCAUCUCUUUCCAUUUCUCAUGGUAAUACUUUGUCAUUUUAAAAUUCCACCUUUAUUAUAGUGAAGUAGGCAUGUUUUAUAACAACGAUACUUGCCACAAUGCUUGAUCCUAACUUACCUCUAGAAUAUAUUUGUUUGUUAAAUAAUCCAUAUUUUAGUCCUUAGUAAGGAUCGGACAAUGUGAAUCUUGGAAGAAAUAAUUUAAAGAGAUGUCACAAAACUAAUUAUGCGCUAACAAUUAGAGCUAUGCUUAUAUAGGUUUACUGUUUAUUCCGGACUGGGACUCGUUUUUCUACCAAUGUGGAUUCCCUCUUUUCUAUCUGUGAUGGAACUCCUGAGUUUCGGGUAGGCACAAGGCUACCCAGGAGAUUACAUUUCCCAGAAGCCUCAUUUGAAGCUGGCUGUGAGUGGAGGUGAUGUGAACCACUUCUGUGCUGUCUCUUAAAAGGGGAUUUUGACCUUUCUUCCUUAUCCCUGAGAAAAAGACACAGUAUCAAGAGAAGAAACAGCUUCCUCAGAUCUUGAAGUUACAGCUGCGGAUUGAGAAAGGCAGUGCUGCCAUACUGGCGAUGUCUUUCUGAAACAUACUGUAAACCAGAGAGAGAUGGCAUUUCUGGUCUCCUUGAUAUAACAGCUCAGACAAUACCUUAAUAGUAUAUUAACAUUUUAAAAUUCAACUUCUGUUUUAUAUCUUUAUGACUUUCCUCAUGUCCUUACCUCGGGAAGAGGUUAUUCCCUGUUGUCCAGGUGUAUAAAAGAGCAACAGGCUGAAUUUGACCCAUAUACCAGAGCUUGUCAACACCUGAUUUGCCAUAAGUUUCUAUCCAGUACACAAAAGCUAAAAACUUCUCAAAGCAGACAGUAUCUCCAGAACAAGAAAGAUCAUACUCAGAACUCGUCGUCUCACUUGAAGAUUCGACAUCAUAGAGAGUCAAAGAUAAAAUGCCUAACCGCGAACUGCGGUUUUGGUAAACAAGGUACCCUUCGGGUUAUUUUAAAAUUCAGCAUCAGUUGCAUUACUUUCCUGCUCAUGUGACAUUUUCAUGUCCCCUUUCACUAGCCAGGUUUUGAAAAACUUGUUUCAACAAUGUUCAGCUAGAUAAUAGGUCCCUGAGCAAGUAACAGUGAAGUGGUACAAAUAUUAAAAGCAUUCCGUGCCCUUUGAAAAUAUUAUGAAAGUUACUGCACAGAUGGGCUGAAAGUUUAAUUACCUCGAAAGAAGAGUGUCAGAGUCAUCAUCGCUGCUGCAACAACUGGAAAUGUAACAACCAAAAUAUCCAUCAGGAAAUGACUCUGAGAGUAUAUAUCAAAUGCACUGAAGAAACAGCUGCCAUUCCAUUUAUGUCACCCAGACAUGAGAAUUGCAGGGAUUGGAAUAACAUGAAGAUGCCGCAUUGGCUUUUUCUUAAUUUGACAUUUUCUAGGCAUUUCUCAAAUGUGCCAGACUGGGAGAAAUGUAUGAAGUAGAGUAACACGCACCAAGUGAAACAACUCAGGUUCAAUUUCAUGUAUUUUUGGUGUGCAAUUUUGUGUGUGUGUGUGUUCAUAGUUCUAUUACAGGGUGUAAAAUUUAAUUUUUAGUACAUUUUUAUUACAGAGAUAAGAUAACUAAUAUUAUCUACAUAGAAUUGCUAAGCUUUCUUUAAACGAAAAUGUUAUGCAAUUUGGGUCUUCGUAAAUGGUCUCUAAUAAUGUUUUCUACUGUUAUAUAUUAUUAUAUAAAUACUUGAUGUGAAAUCCUAUUUCAGCACCAUAGCUGUAUGGCAGAUGUCAGAAUGUGUGAGAAGAAACAUUCAACAAAGGUUAUUUUUUCAGAGUAAGUAUUCAUUCCUCUGCAUCAAAGGAGAAAGUGCAUAAGGAGAUUGUAAGAAUAUUUAAAAACUGCUCUUCAGACAACUUACUGUAAGUCAUAUGGCCCACUAUGGCAUCUUGCCAUUCUCCGCAUUCUGUUGUUGCUGGCAAUGUUUUAGCCAGAAUUCUUUAAGCCUGAUUUAUUAUUACAGAUAAUGGUAAACUAUGUCGUUAGGAAGCACAAUAUAGUUGAGAGCUAUAAAAGAGACGUGUGUUCAUUUAUAUUUAUCAGAGUAAGUUUUAAAAGUACAAGAAACAAUACCGCAUAUUCUGGAAAAUAUUACAGAAUCUAAGCUAGUAUAAAGAGAUGUAUAUAUUAAUAUCAAUUUCUGAGAAGCAUUAUGAUUUGUGGUUAAUCAAACCUAAAUAUGCUGAAUCCCAACUGAAUUAGGGAGAACUAGUUUUUACUCCCAAACAUGCAUUUAAUAUAUAAGCCAAGUCUUACCUGAGAUCUUGGGAAAUGAGAAUAGAACUGGGAAGAUAGUUACAUAUAGAGUGGUGGCUAAUAAAUAAGUAGUAGCUUCUGUAAUUUGGACA